RNAcentral lists this ribosomal RNA (510 nucleotides) under Calliptamus abbreviatus. RNAcentral's name for it is "partial large subunit ribosomal RNA". It matches the Rfam family "Bacterial large subunit ribosomal RNA", at positions 1819 to 2600 of the family's 2925-position model. The record is from RNAcentral. Lineage: Eukaryota; Metazoa; Arthropoda; Insecta; Orthoptera; Acrididae.
GUCCUCUUGAGUAUGAUUUGAGGUCCGGCCUGCUCACUGACAAGGUUUUAAAGAGCCGCGGUAUUUUGACCGUGCAAAGGUAGCAUAAUCAUUAGUCUCUUAAUUAGAGGCUGGAAUGAAUGGUUUGACGAGAAAUCAACUGUCUCUUAAUAAUUUUUAAAAUUUAACUUUUAAGUCAAAAGGCUUAAAUUUUUCUUUAGGACGAGAAGACCCUAUAGAGCUUGACAUUUUAUUUUUAUAUAGUUUUUGGUUAGUCUUUCUAUAUUUAAUGAUAAUGUUUUGUUGGGGUGACAUGAAGAAUAAAUAAACUCUUCAUUAUAAAAUCAUUGAUUUAUGUUUAUCAUGAUCCAUAAUUUAUGAUCAUAAGAUUAAGUUACCUUAGGGAUAACAGCGUAAUUGUUUUUGAGAGUUCAUAUUGACAAAACAGAUUGCGACCUCGAUGUUGGAUUAAGAAAAAUUUUGGGUGCAGGAGCCCAAUAAUUAGGUCUGUUCGACCUUUAAAUUCUUACA